UAAUUCUUUCAGUGAUUGUAAUUCUAUGCUUGUGUUCUUUCUUCCACAGUUAGGCUCUGGUAUUAUAGGCUACCGAAUCUACAACUAUGUGGUUAUAGAACCACAAAUGAUACAAAAUAUUUCAGAGGGGAAGUUGGGAAAUCUUGACUCAUCUCGUUCGUAUCAUGAAUUUUACGCAAUUUGGUCUGUUUUGCUGUUACAUUUAGCUUGGCCCCAAAUUUUCAAAUACACCAGUUUCAAAUACAACUCGUCGCUUUUCAAGCUCUGGAAGGAGAUUACUGCAAUUUCAGUUGUCUUCAUCGUUAUUUUUGUGACAUAUCUUCAGAUCAUUAACUCGAAAUAUUGCGAUUACAGAUAACAUCCUCGGUAUUAGUUAGACCAGUAAUUUCCAUGUAGCUCAGGUGAAUGAUUUCCAAACAUUUUCGACGACUGCCUCAACACUUUGAAAAAUUGAUGUCAAAACUUGGAUAUGAAAGGCAGAAUGGCGGGGAAGAUAAUAAUCCAGAUAAUGACAAAUAUUCAUACAAAGAAAUUAUAGAAUUUUUCUUAAAGUAAAUUUAAAAAUAUUAAUGUCUAGUUAAUUCUGAUUUAGUACAGAUUUCUAUGUGUAUUUAUUUAAUAACAUAUUACAGUAAUUCAAAUCUAAAAGUCUGUAAUGAUGGUGCGUUUCUAAAGUAAAAAUUAUUCUGGAUGUUUUCCGUAGUCUAAUAAAGUCAUGAAAUUGCAGGAUGUUUCGGUGAUGGGACUGUAUCUCCGUCUUCAGGUAUACAUCCUCACUUGGGCCCAAUCGAUACAACUAAUCCCUAUAUCCUGUGUACGGUUUUAGGAAUUAGCUCUGAGCCAUGCCUUAUGGCUCGAAGUGGCUUAUCUCCCCUCUCUAAGUUCUUUGGAGUCUGCGGCUUCGAGACCCUGAUGAGACAGCAGGGCAAUUAGGACAGUCUGUGUGUGUCCGCCGGAGAGAGAACGACUCGAGGAGAAAGACGGAAGGCAAGUCAGGGUUUGUGGGGGUUGAGUUGGGCAUCUGGAGUCGCAUACCCGGCCGGAGUUUGAGACCUGAAAGGUGUCUUGGUUCCGUUUAUCUUAUAUUUAAAUAUUUCUCAUUAAAUAAUCUACUUCGAUUAUUCGAAGUAGAUUCAUUUGGUUUUCUUCUAUUACUUUUCACCGCUUUACCCUCCCCAAGCCGUACCACCUCCCGGCCUGGGACGAUCGUGGCCUCAGUAGCGUAAUCCGCCAGUCCCCUUCUCAGGGGGGUUCAGCUCUACCUAUUAGUCCUAGCAGAUAGAGUCACAUCCCCGAAACGUGUAAUUUUAUGAUAUUUUUAGACGAUGGAAAACACUUAGAAAACCUUAUAUUUUACUACAGUUAUAUUCGUUUAUCUCUUCAGACAGAAUUUCAAUAUUGAAGACAAAAUGUUGUUGAUUAACAUUUUUAUUACACUACAGAACCUUGGUGAAAUUAAAUUUGCGUGAACUUAUUUUUGAUUUGA
Zootermopsis nevadensis is the source of this 1486-nucleotide non-coding RNA. The record is from RefSeq and is a predicted model, not a curated record. Lineage: Eukaryota; Metazoa; Arthropoda; Insecta; Blattodea; Termopsidae.